CAUGUUUUUUGUACCUUUAUUUAACUAGGCAAGUCAGUUCAGAACAAAUUAUUAUUUUCAAUGAUGGGUUAGGAACAGUGGGUUGGUUAACUGUCUUGUUCAGGUGCAGAACGACAGAUUUGUACCUUUUCAGCUCGUGGAAUUCCGUCUUGCAACCUUUCGGUUACUAGUCCAAAGCUCUAACCACUAGGUUACCUGCCGCCCCUUAUAUUGUUAAACACUGUAGCAUGUUUACAUUAUUAGGUACUUUAGCAAGUUUACAUUAUUAGGUACUGUAGCAUGUUUACAUUAUUAGGUACUAUAGCAUGUUUACAUUAGAUACAGUAGCAUGUUUACAUUGUUAGAUAAUGUAGCAUGUUUACAUUAUUAGAUACAGUAGCAUGUUUACAUUAUUAGAUACAGUAGCAUGUUUACAUUAUUAGAUACUGUAACAUGUUUACAGUAUUAGAUACUGUAACAUGUUUACAUUAUUAGAUACUGUAGCAUGUUUACAUUAUUAGAUACUGUAGCAUGUUUACAUUAUUAGAUACUGUAGCAUGUUUACAUUAUUAGAUACUGUAACAUGUUUACAUUAUUAGAUACUGUAGCAUGUUUACAUUAUUAGAUACAGUAGCAUGUUUACAUUAGAUACAGUAGCGUGUUUACAUUAUUAGAUACUGUAGCAUGUUUACUGCAACGCCAUGAAACUUGACCUCUUCCAGUAUUAUGUUAACUGCAACAUUAUGAAGACAUUUCAUUACUCAUAUAGCUGAGGAUGUCAAAGACCACUUGUCUACACACAAUGUUCCCCCAAACCAGCUGUGCUUUUUCUAUAAUUUGGCAGUCACUACAAUAGUUAAAUCACAGCACGACUUUGCAUGCACCAUCACAGGUGUAGAAAAAUGUGAAUCCUCCAGUUUGGCCAAACCUGCCAGUCACUACAAUGUCCCAAACUGCAGGGAUAGGUAAUCCACUCGUCACAUGUUCCAAUCUCCAAUCUGUUUUAGGAUUAUCCCAAAAUGUCCUCUGCCGCACUUGGUUAUACUGUAUCUCUACCUAGCAGGCCUAUUCUCCCACUGUGGACUGACAUCCAGGCCUGAUCUUUACUGGAUAACCAAGUUAAAAAUUCAUUUUCCUUGUAAAAACACGUUUAUGAGUGGUUAAAAAUCCAGUAAGACUGUCUCUCACACAUUGACAUUCUAGAAAUUUUACUUAAAAAUUCUAGAAUAAGUUCUAGAACAUUCAAGUGGGACUUCAGAG
This is a long non-coding RNA of Oncorhynchus tshawytscha (Chinook salmon), 1239 nucleotides long. NCBI's taxonomy places the organism in Eukaryota, Metazoa, Chordata, Actinopteri, Salmoniformes, Salmonidae. The record is from Ensembl.